Molecule: ribosomal RNA, 558 nt
Filed under: uncultured bacterium
Lineage: Bacteria
Description: bacterial SSU rRNA
Rfam family: Bacterial small subunit ribosomal RNA
Source: RNAcentral
CCUACGGGAGGCAGCAGUGGGGAAUAUUGGACAAUGGGCGCAAGCCUGAUCCAGCAAUACCGCGUGAGUGAUGAAGGUCUUCGGAUUGUAAAGCUCUUUUAGUGGAGAAGAUAAUGACGGUAUCCACAGAAAAAGCACCGGCAAACUUCGUGCCAGCAGCCGCGGUAAUACGAAGGGUGCUAGCGUUGUUCGGAAUCAUUGGGCGUAAAGCGUACGUAGGCGGUUUAGUAAGUCGAUUGUGAAAUACCCGAGCUCAACUUGGGAAUUGCAAUCGAAACUGCUUUGCUAGAGUUUAGUGGGGGAUAGUGGAAUUCCUAGUGUAGGGGUGAAAUCCGUAGAUAUUAGGAGGAACAUCAGUGGCGAAGGCGACUAUCUACGCUAAUACUGACGCUAAGGUACGAAAGCGUGGGGAGCAAACAGGAUUAGAUACCCUGGUAGUCCACGCAGUAAACGAUGAGUGCUAGUUGUCGGGGUCUUAGACUUCGGUGGCGAAGCUAACGCGUUAAGCACUCGCCUGGGGACUACGGUCGCAAGACUAAAACUUAAAGGAAUUGACGG